Patella vulgata (common limpet) is the source of this 1045-nucleotide long non-coding RNA. RefSeq lists it as uncharacterized. NCBI's taxonomy places the organism in Eukaryota, Metazoa, Mollusca, Gastropoda, Patellidae. The record is from RefSeq and is a predicted model, not a curated record. The transcript has 6 exons.
AACCAGGGCACGUGAGUAUCUACGCAUAUCAUAUUAACGCCAGGGUCGUCAACAAGUUAUAUUUUGGAUACUAGAAGAACGGAAAUGGAAUCAAAAAAAGAGAAAGCCUUUGAUAUAGAUGUUGAAUUUAAAGAAAGAUUGAAUUUAACAAAACAGGGUAUGACUAAAAGGAUGGAUAAAUGGGCUGCUGAUUACGAUUCAGCUAUGGCGUCCAUAGUUUACACAAACCCAGAAGUCGUUAGUCAAAUUGUUGGUGAACAUUUUCCUACUAAUAGAGAAUAUGUUAAAAUUGUUGAUGUUGCUUCCGGUACCGGAUUAGUAGGAAUUGAGUUAAAUAAAAUUGGUUUUAAACAAAUAGAUGCCAUGGAUCCAAGCCCUGGAAUGAUGAAAGUGGCUAAAAGUAGAAAUGUGUAUGAUAAAUGUUAUAUAGAUUAUGUUGAUGGACAUCCUCUGUCAAUAGAUACAGAUACCUACGAUUGUGCCGUAGUGGUGGCUGGUUUUUCAAUGGGUCAGGUACCAACCAACGCUUUGUUUAAACUCAUCAGAAUUGUUAAACCAGGUGGUUUUAUUUUUAUCAACAUGAUGGAAAGUAACCUAGUUCGGGUUGAAGAAUUCAAAGACAGAUUAGAACCUUUAUGGGAGAGAUUUACAAAUAAUGGUGUUUGGGAAAUUGUUAACAGGGAAAUCAAGCCCCCAGGUGACUUGAUGCUAAGUGCCAAAGUUUUGGUUUCUGAUACAACACUGCCAAGACUUCCCUCCGUUGACAAUUCUUAGAGUGAAUAAGCAUUAUCGUCAACAGUUAUUAUCCCAAUGAAUUAAUUAUUAAUUAAUUAUAGCUGUGUGUACUGAUUAAAUUAAUAUUCUUAUAUCUACAGUACUACUAGCAAAUAUACUCAAGUUUAUCAAACAUAAUCGUAUUAAAUCACUUCUUUCAUCGCAUUUAUAACUACACUUGACCAUUUCCUUUUUUUCUGUGUGUUUAAAAAAGUUUAUAACAAGAAAGUUUUAUUUAUUUAUUAAACAAAGAAGAAGUGGAAUUAUUGUG